UACGGGGGUGGCAAGCGUUACUCGGAAUUAUUGGGUGUAAAGGGCAAGUAGGCGGUCUAAUAAGUGAGGGGUGAAAUCUCCCGGCUCAAUCGGGAAACUGCCUUUCAUACUGUUAGGCUUGAGGUAGGAAGAGGGAAAUGGAAUUCUCGGUGUAAGGGUGAAAUCUGUAGAUAUCGAGAAGAACACCAGCAGCGAAGGCGAUUUCCUGGUCCUAUCCUGACGCUAAAUUGCGAAAGCUAGGGGAGCAAACAGAAUUAGAUACUCUGGUAGUCCUAGCCGUAAACGAUGAGCACUAGGUGUUGGUUCCUUCGGGGAUCAGUGCCGCAGCUAACGCAUUAAGUGCUCCACCUGGGGACUACGGUCGCAAGGCUAAA
Molecule: ribosomal RNA, 374 nt
Filed under: uncultured bacterium
Lineage: Bacteria
Description: bacterial SSU rRNA
Rfam family: Bacterial small subunit ribosomal RNA
Source: RNAcentral